RNAcentral lists this ribosomal RNA (513 nucleotides) under uncultured bacterium. Its description in RNAcentral is "bacterial SSU rRNA". It matches the Rfam family "Bacterial small subunit ribosomal RNA", at positions 32 to 519 of the family's 1533-position model. The record is from RNAcentral.
AAUCAACGCUGGCGGCGUGCCUCAGACAUGCAAGUCGAACGCGAAAGUUUCCUUCGGGGAACAAGUAGAGUGGCGCACGGGUGAGUAACACGUAGGUAAUCUACCUUUGGAUGGGGAAUAACAAUCGGAAACGGUUGCUAAUACCGCAUAAUGCAGCGGCACCUAAUGGUGACAGUUGUUAAAGCGGGGGAUCGAAAGACCUCGCGUCUGAAGAGGAGCCUGCGGCGGAUUAGCUAGUUGGUAAGGUAAUGGCUUACCAAGGCUACGAUCCGUAACCGGCCUGAGAGGGCGGUCGGUCACACUGACACUGACAUACGGGUCAGACUCCUACGGGAGGCAGCAGUCGGGAAUUUUGGGCAAUGGGCGAAAGCCUGACCCAGCAACGCCGCGUGAAGGAUGAAAUCCCUCGGGAUGUAAACUUCGCAAGAACGGGAAGAAUAAGCGAGAGUUAAUAUCUCUCGUGAUGACGGUUACCGUUUGUAAGCUCCGGCUAACUCCGUGCCAGCCGCCGCU